This 4442-nucleotide long non-coding RNA is filed under the name Homo sapiens (human). Its description in RNAcentral is "HSALNT0132946". The record is from RNAcentral. Lineage: Eukaryota; Metazoa; Chordata; Mammalia; Primates; Hominidae.
GGGGUUCCAAUGAUUCCUGUAGUUCACUGAGCUCUUGUAAAGAAGCAACCGUUUUUCCUGACCUUGACACUCAAGCAUUUUUGAUGGUUCUAGAAGUACCCAUUUUCAGGGGAGAAAUCAGUGGAAAACUACAGCAACGCCAUACAGGAAAAACCAUCAAGUGCUCAGAAAUGAAUGGUCACCCCAACAAAUAAAGAACAACGAUCAGCUGAGGUUCAAAUUGGAAGAAGGCCAACUGUGGCCUCAGGAUCAGUUGCAGACUUGAGAACAAUCGCAGCGGCCUGGAUUUUCAUGAUGUUUUAUGUAUUUGUAUAUACCAAUUUCUGUUUUUUCCUUCUUUUCCCCAAGUGUUCACAUUGGUUACAUUUAUUACUGAUCUUUAGGAUAUAAGAUUGUGGUGGCCAUGGAGGUGUACCACCCAGAUCUACUUCAAAAGAACCUGCUGUGGGAAGCAUAGUUGAUGACGGCCUUCAGCUACUGCUCCUCCAGAUCCAUCAUAGCUGUCACACUAACACUGCAUUUCUACGGAGUAUACCCAGCCAAUGGCUGAGAGUGGCAGGGUUCAACUUUUCUUGAACCAUUACUGCUCAACCUGGCACCCUUUGCUCAGGAAUUCUCAUCAACCUGGUCCAGACUUACUCAGACUUGCAAUGGGGUCUGAAGAUGCUCUGCCUCCUCCUGUUCCCAAGAUCCUUUAUCCUUGCCAGGCAUUUCCACCAAUAAAUCUCUUUCAUGUAUAAGUCAGUCUUGGCAUCGGCUCUUGGAGGACCCAAACUGACGGGGAUGUGAAGCUGAGAUUGUGAUUAAACAAUCUCACUCAAAGAUGGAUAUGAUGAUUUUAUGAGACUUUUCAGAGAGGAACAGAGUGUUCUGUUUGCAUAGAGAAUAGUCACAUUGUGUUAGGAGCAUGCUGUUACUAUUCUUGUUUUCUAGAAAUUUUAAUAAGGUUGUGUGCAUACAGUGAGCAGCCAAAGUGGUAGGCUUCCUAGAUCGUGUCUCAAUAGGCACUGAAAUCCAAUUCCCCUAAAUCCUAAUUCCAUUUUUCUGUGUCAUGUUGCAGCUGCCUCACUCUAGUAUUCUGGAUGUGAUUUGGGGUCCAGUGAGAUGCACUGACUAAUAUCUGCAGUGUACAAUGCAGGCAGCAGCAGCGCCAGCUAAAGCUGAGCUCUGGUAGAGUUGGAUUGGAUGUUUACAGUGACCUACCUCUUCAGUGUGAUAUUUCCUCACGGUCAUCAGCUACAGGCUGUGAGACAGCCUGGGGGAGACAGGAUAGCCAUGUUUCCCACUACCUCCCAACCACUGGCUGGUGCACCAGCCUCCUGGCCUUAGGUCGCAGCCACAGUGACGUGACCUCCUACAAUCCCUGGCAAGCUGGAGGAGCAGCCCUGCAACCAAGCCUGCUCUAAGAAAAGGCUUUCUGUUUACUAACCUGGAGCUGCUCUAUUCUUUCACCCUUGUUCCCCUUUCAGCUGUCUCGCGCAAGUACUAAUUUUGCCAUUAAAUACGCAUUUUGUUUUGCAAAAUGAGAAGAGCUUAUAAAUACUUCAAAUUUUCUCCGUCUGUUUCACUCCUUUCCAUUUCUUUCUAAAAUUACAGUAAAAUAUUAACUAUACAAAAUAUUGUUGUAUUUAUACAAAACAACAAUACCAUAAAAUAAAACACUACAUAGUUGAAGCCCUCUGAGGAUCUCUCCAUUUCUUCCAGCCAUAACGAAUACCCUGAACUUUACGUUUCUUUUCCCUUUGCGGUUGCUUAAUUUUUCUACAUCUGAAUAUAUCCUUACACGUUUUCAAAAUUUAUAGAAAUAUCCCACUGAAUACAUUUUUCUGUAACUUGCCUUUGCACUGCAUUGUGAGAUUCAGCUAUGUUGAUCUGUUUAACUCCAGCUGAUGUAUGUAAUGAUCCCUGAUGAUUAUUCUGCCGUUUGACUAUACCAAAAUUUAUUCAGGUCUCUGAUAAUGAGCAUUUAGAUUGGUUUGUUUUCCAUUUAUGAAUUUAGCAAUUAUGUGUUUCUAAUUUUUUGUUAUUAUAAACUAUGGUGCUACGAAUAUUCCUGUAUAUGCCACCUUCAAAAUUGUAAAAUUUCAACUGUUUUAAAAUACAGUCAUGUCAGGAUACAUUCUGAGAAAUGUAUCAUUGGGCAAUUUCAUUGCUAGGCACACAUCAAUGUAUGCAAAUCUAGAUGGCAUAGCCUACUACACACCUAGACCACAUGGCGUGGUGUGUUGCUCUGACCACCAUCAUAUAUGUAGUUCGUCAUUGACCAAAAUGGCAUUCUCCGGCACGUCUGUAUUAAAAUUUUUUAGUGGAAAACCAGUUUUUAAAAUCUGUUUUACAUGAAUGAUAGUUUUUAGUGUCAACAAUUUAAAUAUGGCAGUUAUUUUUUCUCAGCACAUUGGUGGUAUUAUUCCAACAUCUUUUAGCUUCCCUUGCUGCCGUUGAGAAGUCUGUUGAUUUCAUACUCCGCUGUAAGUAAUCCAUUUUUUCCUCGCAUAUGCUAAUUUUGAGAUCUUCUCUGCCUUUAUUGUUUUGCCAUUUCACUAAAAUAUGUUUAGAGAUAUAUAAAUUCUGCUUGGACUCUAUUGUGCUUCCAGAAUUGGAAGAUCAAUGUCUUUCAUUAAUUAUGGAACAUUCUUGGUCAUGGACUCAUUGAAUGAAUGUUUCCUUUUCUCCAUUAUUUCUAUUCUUUUCUUCUGAAACUUCAGUAGUCAUAUGUUAGUCCUUUUAACUCCAUCUGCCUUGUUUCGUAACUUCUCUCUCAUGUUUUCCCAUACUGCUUUUUAGCAUCCUGAGCAAUAUUCAGAUCCAUCUCCUGGUUUACUAUUUUUAUUUCCAUAAAUUUCACUGGAUUCUUUUUCAAUUCUGCCUGGCCAUUUUUUGAUGGUAUUUUGUUUUCAGUCUCAUUUUAAGUUUCUUCCUUUUAAAGAAUAUUUUAUACAUAAUUAUUUAUAUUUACUAUCUAAUAAUUUAAAUGUCUGAACUCUGGGUGUGUAAUCUUCUCUCCUGCUCUUUUUCAUGAUGGUUUGUUUUCCGUUUAUGAAUUUAGCAGUUGAAUGUUUUGUACUCACGUUUGGCCAAACUUAAUUCGUGGAAAUCUGUGGGAGACUGUAAAAAUAUCAGUGGUUGCCAGGGUAUAGAUGAACAAGUGAAGCACUGAGGAUUUUUAGGCAGGGAAGCCACUCUGUGUGAUUACUACAAUGGUGGCCACAUGUCAUCAUACACCCAUGAAAACCCAUAGCAUGUGCAAUGCAAACAGUGAAUCCUAACAUAAACUCUAGAUUCUAGUUAAUCAUAAUGCAUCACUAUUGGCUUAUUAAUUGUAAUGUGCCACACUAAUGCAAGAUAUUAAAAUAGAAAUUGGGAGGAGGUGGGGCAUAUGGGAAUCCAUUGUAUAAUACUUUACUUUAUGCUCAGUUUUUUUAUAAACCUGUAACUGUCAAAAGCCUAUUCAUUUUUUUAAAUGUAGAGAUAAAAAAAAAAACAAAAAAAAGUUAACCUUUGUGAUUUGGACUUAAACAGGGAACCCUAUCUCAGGGUCAUGAGAGAAAAGAACCAAGUGUCUCCUUCUGUGAACUGAAGGGCAUCAAGAAGAGUGGCGUUUUAGUGGCAUAGGGGAAGUCACUUUCUUUUGCCAUCUAAAGUUUCAGGGUACAUGUGCAGGUUUGUUACAUAUGUAUACAUGUGCCAUGUUGGUGUGCUGCACCCAUUAACUCUUCAUUUAACAUUAGGUUUAUCUCCUAAUGCUAUCCCUCCCCCCUCCCCCCACCCCACAACAGGCCCCAGUGUGUGAUGUUCCCCUUCCUGUGUCCAUGUGAUCUCAUUGCUCAAUUCCCACCUAUGAGUGAGAACAAGUGGUGUUUGGUUUUUUGUCCUUGCAAUAGUUUGCUGAGAGUGAUGGUGUCCAGCUUCAUCCAUGUCCCUACAAAGGACAUGAACUCAUCAUUUUUUAUGGCUGCAUCGUAUUCCAUGGUGUAUAUGUACCACAUUUUCUUUUUUUUAAUUUUAUUAUUAUUGUACUUCAAGUUUUAGGGUACAUGUGCACAAUGUUCAGGUUACAUAUGUAUACAUGUGCCAUGUUGGUGUGCUGCACCCAUUAACUCGUCAUUUAGCAUUAGGUAUAUCUCCUAAUGGUAUCCCUUCCCUCUCCCCCUACCCCACAACAGUCCCCAGUGUGUGAUGUUCCCCUUCCUGUGUCCAUGUGUUCUCAUUGUUCAAUUCCCACCUAUGAGUGAGAACAUGUGGUGUUUGGUUUUUUGUCCUGGUGACAGUUUGCUGAGAAUGAUGGUUUCCAGUUUCAUCCAUGUGCCUACAAAGGACAUGAACUCAUCAUUUUUUAUGGCUGCAUAGUAUUCCAUGGCGUAUAUGUGCCACAUUUUCUUAAUCCAGUCUAUCAUUGUUGGACAUUUAGGUUGGUUCCAAGACUUUGCUAUUGUGAAUAGUGC